Molecule: long non-coding RNA, 1928 nt
Organism: Anolis carolinensis (green anole)
Lineage: Eukaryota; Metazoa; Chordata; Lepidosauria; Squamata; Anolidae
Exons: 2
Source: RefSeq, a predicted model, not a curated record
CUUGAUAGCGAUUUGACAAUGAAAAAAAUCUUUCUGAGAUUAGCUAUAAUGAAAUAGAAAUCAAAUCCCUGAUAUCUACUGACUGAUGAGAUAUAUUUUCAACAGUUGUGGGUGUAUUUUUAUCCAUUUACCCAGCUGUCUUUUUUUUUUUUUGAAGAAAAGCAAGUUAAUUGCCUAGAAACUUGGGAAAAUCUAAAAUAUGGCAGCCGACCCAUUCAAAAAUGCUUUUCCUCAUGUAUCCAACAUUAAUAUUUUGCUCAGGGCUAUAGUAGUACCAAAAAGGCAUCAGAAAAAUCCAGGUCGGUGUGUUAUUUUUGCAGCUCAGUCAAUGGAUUUAGUCAUCCUGAGCUGACUGGUGCGGUGAUGUGGAAGGAAUGCUUUAAAGCAACAUGUUGUAUCUUCUGGGGUUUGUGUGUGUGCCAGUUAGUAGUUGAGGCCACAGAUGUACUGCUGCAAAGCAUUCUUUCUAUCUUUCCUUUUGUGCAUAUGUUUGUGUGUAUGUGUGAGAGAGGGGGGCAACUUCUUUCAUAUUUGACACAAUCCCAUUCUUUCUUCUCAAAAGCACACAAUAGGACUUAUUUUAUAUCUAGUCUUUUUUAAAAUUGCAGAAUUGAAAUUUAGUUGGAGUUGUAAUUAGGUUUUAAAAUAUUCAUUCAUGUGUUCUUCCUGGGUUUUUUUUUAUCUUCCUUAAAUCCCAGUUCUGGCUACAACAUUUUAUUCCCACAGCAGAGGAUAGCUUUUUUUCUGUCCUGGGAGUUUCCAUUACAAACCAUGGUAAAUGUCACACAUCAGUACGUUGUCCGAGAUAGCCAUUUUGGGUGACUUCAUGGAUGGGAAGUUAUGCUCCCCCUCUAUUCUGCCUUGGUCAGACCACACCUGGAAUACUGUGUCCAAUUUUGGGCACCACAGUUGAAGGGAGAUGUUGACAAGCUGGAAAGCGUCCAGAGGAGGGCGACUAAAAUGAUUAAGGGUCUGGAGAACAAGCCCUAUGAGGAGCGGCUUAAAGAGCUGGGCAUGUUUAGCCUGCAGAAGAGAAGGCUGAGAGGAGACAUGAUAGCCAUGUACAAAUAUGUGAAGGGAAGUCAUAGGGAAGAGGGAGCAAGCUUGUUUUCUGCUGCCCUGCAGACUAGGACACGGAACAAUGGCUUCAAACUACAGGAAAGGAGAUUCCACCUGAACAUCAGGAAGAACUUCCUCACUGUGAGAGCUGUUCGACAGUGGAACUCUCUCCCCGGGGCCGUGGUGGAGGCUCCUUCCUUGGAGGCUUUUAAGCAGAGGCUGGAUGGCCAUCUGUCGGGGGUGCUUUGAAUGCGAUUUCCUGCUUCUUAGCAGGGGGUUGGACUAGAUGGCCCAUGUGGUCUCUUCCAACUCUACUAUUCUAUGAUUCUAUGAUUCUAUGAUUCUAUGAUUCUAUGGUAUCAUCACUGAUCUCAUAAUAUAGGAUUUCAGCCAGUAUUCAGGGCACAACUGGAUGCAGAAGCAGAAACAACAACUGCAAAAUAUUGCAACGAAUGAAACAGAAUGUCUCCAGCAUUUAGUAGAAAUAUUGGUCUGUCUGAAGGAGCCUAAAAUAAUUGUUUGAGUCCAAUCCAUGUCCAUAGGUCAUAUAAAAUAUAUAUCAUAUAUGAUCUCCAUGAAUGAGUCAGGGACCCUAGAUCUGGCCCUGAGUCUGUGGGGAAAUGAAGUCCCCCUCUCCCUAAACUUAUCUUUUGGAAACACCAACCAGCAAUGAAAUCAGAGGGAAUCCCCAGCCAACAUGAGCCUGGGUUUCAGCCAAUCAAAGCAAGCCAUGAUAUUCCAAAUGGCUGUCAAAAUGAAUAAAUAUUCUGUAUAUGUUUCUGUAGGGUAUGUUGGAUCUUUGAGAGCAUAGACUGUAUUCUGACAUCCUUUUGGGCCUGAAAGAAUAAAAUCUCUUCUUUUGCCUUCAA